GGGGAGACUCAAGAAGGCAGAGGGAAGACUGUGUUUCACAUUUGCAUCAGGCAUUUGGAAAGGAGAAUCCUGCUUCAGGGAGGUUAAUUUGGAGAACUCCUAGUUAUACAGUUGGUGUUCAGGACACAAGGACUCAGCUACAUGCAUUGGUUUUGAGGAUCGGAUCCUAAGUCUUUCUUAAUCCGCAGGUGGAAGUGGAAGGAAUUUCCUUGGUGCUUUUUUUUUGUGAUGUUAUAUUUCUGCCCUGCAACAAAGGCUGCACUUUUCUGCCUCAAAAGCAAGCAAAAGACUCCCUGCUAACCUGGUAAGCC
This 311-nucleotide long non-coding RNA is filed under the name Homo sapiens (human). Its description in RNAcentral is "HSALNT0153812". Lineage: Eukaryota; Metazoa; Chordata; Mammalia; Primates; Hominidae. The record is from RNAcentral.